Molecule: long non-coding RNA, 2572 nt
Organism: Pseudopipra pipra
Lineage: Eukaryota; Metazoa; Chordata; Aves; Passeriformes; Pipridae
Exons: 3
Source: RefSeq, a predicted model, not a curated record
GCCCGCAGCGCCGUGAGGGAGCAGCGGCCGGAGGGGAAGGUGGACACGGCACGUGGGGUGGCAGUUCUCUGCAUCCCGUCUGCACCGACCUCAUCCUGCAUUCCGCACCCUUCCCCGGGCUAAGAACCACAAUAACACAGCAAGCAUAUGGUUCCUAAUUAAACGCCGAUUUAGGGAGAUAGAGCUGUGCAUGGAAUACGUUUACAGUGGCCUAUAUACUCCCAUCCGACUGGCAUGCAGAGCCGGGAGGAGGCUGGAACUCUGUGUGGCAUUUCUAAUCACAUAAAGAUUUCUUCAAAGCUACCAGAGCUUGACCACUGAUGCUCUUGCCUUGAGGGAGAGUUGUAAGCUCGUUUGCAAGGGAGAAAGAUAGACAGACAGACAGAAAGGAAGAGGACAAUUGGCGUAAAGUCAAUUUUUAAUGAGGCAGGAUUUCUCUAGCCUGUGCUUUGAUACUCAACUUUGCUUCUGACCAGGAUCCACUUCAAACGACAGAGGCGAUAUUUCUCUGGCACUAAUCUAAUUCUUCAUCCUAAUUGCAUUUGGCAGAGCUGGGUCUGAACAGUGCCGCCUUGUGGCAUCGUUCAGAGCGAUAAACAGGAAUUCUGAGCUGCCAUACGUCUGCUUCCUUCAGCAUGCUCUGCUCAGCAUGGGAGUUUGACCAGGCAAAAGGGGAUGAUCGUGGCACUGUCUGGGGCAGCCUGAAAAGACAGCCUGGCUAGCACGGCAGCAUCUCUUGAGAGAUUUCAAAUGUCUCUGCCAUUUCUCCACAUGCAUUGCUGAGGUGCCUUCAUGCACAGAGUUUGUAUGCACACACAGUGCUUUCUGGAUCGAUCCGACCUGCAGCACAGGCUCUCAGUUCAGCCCUGUGCUAUGUGUGCAGUAUUCCCACCAUCUCAAGCUCUCUGGACACGAGCUACAUGGAGUAUCCUGCAUGUGGAUAACGGGACCCUGAGCUGUGGUAUGGCAGGAUCUGACAGAGCUCCAACAGAGGCAUGCAAAUCUCCUGACAAACAUAUAUUGUCAAACUUCCCAACACCUUCCUGAGACAGCUGCAUCAUCACGGCCUUGUCGUUCAACAGUGAGAGACAAUAUCCAAUGGCUGUGUGGCAUUGGAUGGAAAAUGUUAUAAUUAAUAAUGCUCAUAGUCCAUUAUCAUGGCCUGAGCAAAAAAAUCAGCUUUGGCAUUUCCAUUUUCUGUGCUAAUGUGUACCAUUUUAUUUUUUUCUACACUUUUCGAGCAUAGAAGGUACUUAAUAUAUUUGAUAUGAGUAUUUUCCCUGCAAAUUUUGUCUUAACUACUCUUCCUUCUUUAAUAAUUCUCCCAUGCUACUGAUUUUAUUUCCUCCUGCUACCCUUUCAGUCUUGUCUUCUCUUUCUCCUUUUGUUUCCAGUUUAUGUGAUUCCAGAUUACUGAUAGUUUUACAAGGCACUGCACCAGCCCAGAGAGAGACACAGAACAGAAGAGAGCCCAUAUCCCUGCUGUGGGCAGAAACAUGACAACCCCUGUCCCAGAGUGACCGAACCAGGAGAACAGAGCUCAUGAUAGAGACACAGAAAGCCAACAGAGGAGUUUUAUAAACUUACAGUGUUUAAAGUAGCUUGCCACAAAAUAAAUAUCUGUUUCUCUGCAGAUUUAGCUGUGGAAGCAGAGGAUCUCCUUGGAGAUAGACAGAAAUCAAUGUCUGGUCCAGAGCUGGCACUCUGGAGAGAUGACAGAAGCAGCUCAGUCGAAGAAGUAGAAGCUCCGGGAAUGGAAAUAACUCACUACAGUGGAAAUUUGUGAAUAGAAUCCUAAAAGAUACUUAAUCUGGCCUUUUUCUAGGAGCUGUGGAGACAACAAACCAGGGCUUGAGAACAAGGCAUUGGAAGGGGCUGCUCAGAGAGGUGGUGGAGUCACCAUCCCUGGAGGUGUUCAAGAAACAACUGGAUGUGGCACAUCAGCCCAGUGCACAGCAGAGGCCUCGCCUGGGCCAUGGAUUUACUGCCUUUUUAGGGUCUCAUUGUGAGUUUGUAAGAGCUGCUGUCCCUGACACAGCGUCCAGGCACGUGGAACCCACUCCUCCCUCCCUGUUCAACGGUGACGAGAUUGUCUCAGGAUGCUGUUGUGAGGUUUGACCAUACGUGUUUGUUGAGGCAUUAGUGCUGUGUCAGAUCUGUGAUACCACAGUUCGGGGUUCUUUUAUCCACAUGCAGCAUAUUCCGUGUAGCACGUUUCCCAAGAGCUUGGCACGGUGGAAAUGUGGAUGCGUAUCCGUGCCGAGAGCUGUGCUGCGGGGCGGAGCUGUCCUGGGUGUCCCUGCAGACAUCACUGGGUGUAGCUACACCUGGGCAGCUGUAUUCAGGAAAAAAACACAAUUACGUUUUUGGACUUCCUCGAAUCCUACCUCAUCUCUUACUCUACAUUUAUUACAGUUUCUAUUAUCCGUAAAGGCCCCCCAAACCGAAUCAAAUUAAGCGGGAUAAACCCCCGCAGCAGGACUCGGGGUGCUGCGCUCACAGGGGGCUGCGGGGACACGUCCCCGGGGAAGCCGCGGGGCAGCGGAGCGGGAGGUGUGGGCAGGGCCGGGGC